RNAcentral lists this non-coding RNA (21 nucleotides) under Arabidopsis thaliana (thale cress). The record is from RNAcentral. Lineage: Eukaryota; Viridiplantae; Streptophyta; Magnoliopsida; Brassicales; Brassicaceae.
GGGAUCCCUCGCGGGUGCACC